This 253-nucleotide ribosomal RNA is filed under the name uncultured bacterium. RNAcentral's name for it is "partial 16S ribosomal RNA". It matches the Rfam family "Bacterial small subunit ribosomal RNA", at positions 524 to 776 of the family's 1533-position model. The record is from RNAcentral.
GACGAGGGGUCCAAGCGUUGUUCGGAAUCAUUGGGCGUAAAGCGGGUGUAGGUGGCUCUGUAAGUCAGGAGUGAAAGCCCCGAGCUUAACUUGGGAAGUGCUUUUGAUACUGCAGAGCUUGAGUGUGGGAGAGGAUCGUGGAAUUCCUGGUGUAGUGGUGAAAUACGUAGAUAUCAGGAGGAACACCGGUGGCGAAGGCGGCAUCCUGGACCGAUAUUGACGCUGAUGCGCGAAAGCCAGGGGAGCAAACGGG